GGGAAGGAGGGGAGCCUAGGCCCGGCGUGGGGAGGCCGGCAGGAAGGGCCUCGAGCCCAGUGCGGACCUUUCUUCAGCCUCUGUGCGACCGAGCCGCGCGCCAGGCUCCUGUGCGAGGAGGACGCGCUGACUCCCUCCGACCUGGGCUCCGAUGGAGCAGAAAUAGCGGGACCUGGACUUGUGGCGCGCCUGGUGCCACAUCUCGGGCUCUGCGAGCGUCCUGGCGCGGGAUCCUGCCUAAUGUCUUACAAUAACAGAAUGCAGGAGAGCACAUAUCAAUGAAGAAAAGACAAAAUGUACUUAUCCAUGAAGCUGAGGUUAAGAAACCAGUGUCUUCAAGAGCCAGGGACAGCACUGGGUCUGUGCAGAGUUGAGAGAUGGUGAUGACAUGUGGUUUCCAGCAUUCCUCACCCAGUCCAGGGACACUGUGGGUGUGCCCAGCUUAAGUCCAGUAACUGGAAAUACAAGCCCAAGUUCUGGAGAGUUUGAGCUGCAGAGAUAUAUAUGGGAACACUUUGAAUCUUGACUCAUUGGCCAUAACCAGCAGAGUGGAAAAUACAAGAAGAGAAAAAAACAUUGAACUGCGAUUUUAUAACAUCCUUUACUAGGCAGAGAGAAGAGGAAACACCAGGAAAGAAAACUGUAUUACGAUGUGAAAACUUAAUGUUGAGAAAUUCAGGCAUCUUGGGGUUAGUGAGGAGAAGUUUUAGGGGCUUAGAUUCUUCUAAACACAUGUACAGAAAUGCAUAUUUCAUCUGAUAUCAAAUGGCAUUUAUAGUGCUAAUCUUUACCUCAAGACUUCACAUCUUUUGGUGAUUGCAUCUUUUAGGUUUAUAGCAGCUAAGUUUGCAUGAAAACACCAGGGCUGUUUCAUUUCAGUCAAGAAUUAAUGUUCAUUGAUUGUGCUUCUGCAUUUCAUGUAACUAUUGUAGAAUUUGUUUUAGUUUUAUGAGGGAAUAAUUGUUCCAACUUCUAUAUAACUCAGGAAUUUACUCUCAAACAACACUGUCAAUUAGUUACUUAUCUCUCUGGAAAUGAUCUGGGAACAUGGAGAGGAAAGGGAGGAAGGGGCAAAAUCUGACCACUUAAAUCUAAGCAUAUUAGAUCAUUUUAUGCUAGAAAGUCCUGAAUGAUGUGACUUUCGUUCUUGUAAAACACCUCUUUCCAUAGAUUCAUGGCCCAAACAGUAUAUAAAGAGUGGGGAAGGAACUGCAUUUGCAAAUAGUUCAAAUCAUUGCUCCAUCUUAACUACGCAGUUCACAAAGUGUGAAGAAAUGUGAUCAUCUCAAAAAAGAUAAUGGGGAAAAAAUAUGUUUUGUUCUGUGACUUUAAAGUCUUGCAAUAUUUUACAUAAAUGAUAAUGGGUGCUUUAAUAAGAACUCUUGAUACUUUUGUUAUUGUAUUCAAUAUAUGCAUAUAAUACAACAGGAUGAUAUUGUUUUGGAUUUGGAAAUGUAUUCUUUCUUAUGCAAUCUUAUGCAGUCAUACUGCUUGAAUAUCAUUACCUGAAUUUAUCUUUCUUUUUUUUGUUGUUGUUUUACACUCUACUUAUUUGGUGCCUGUCAGUCUUUUGUCGUCAGUUUAUAUUCUACUAAACUCAAAAAGACAAUCUCAUACCUUUUGUAAUUGUAGGCAUUCUUUACUAGAUUUUUAAAUACACUUCAAAAAUUCAAGUACUUUGAUUUCAUGCCAUCAAGUAGCUGAAUCUAUCCCCCCGUCUCUUUUUAAAUUUAAGUGAGUAGUUCAAUUUCUGUCACUUUCUACUUUGUGAAUUCUAAAUCUUUUAAAACCAUCUUGCCAUUUUUCGUGCACUUACCCUUACAGAAAACUCUGUGAAACACUACUUAUCUCUACUUUUAUGUUUUUAACUCCUUUUUUAUAUUACUAUUCCCUCUGCUUUCUAAAUGCACAUAUUAAUUUGUUCUUUUUAUUCUCUGUAGCUCUUCUCAGUGUAUGAAUUCAGUUUCCCAUCAGUCUCCAUACAAUUAAAAAAAAGUUGAGUAUUCUGUUAUUUUAAUAAGAUAUCUAGUGCCCAUAUUCUAAUUCUGCCCCUUAUUUUUAAUAUAAUUUUAUUGUUGAUUUAAAAUGACAACAGUUUCAAUUCCCAGAAAGUGAAAGGAAACAAAGGAAUAAUAUUAUAGGCUUAAUUUUUAUCAGUGAACUUGUAGGUGAAGAAAAGAUUUGGGGAAGGAAAUGAACAUAUUAUAUUGCAAAAUAGUAAGGAACAAUCAGAUGUGUUUUCUAGUCUCUGGAAAAGCAUGUUUCAAGAAAUUCAAUGAAAAGUUCAUCAUGCUUGCUUAGAUUGUUGAGAAGCAAAAACACUGAUGAACAUUUGGAAGCAAUGAGAAUGUAAUUCUAAUCAUACUCUUUUAAUAAUGUUGCAAAACUCUCCAAACACUACUCUGUGUGGAUGUCUUUCAGAAUAUGAUGAAUACUAGUAGUCUUAUUCUGCCCUUUUCUCUCUAUCACAAUAUAUACAUUCUAUAUUGCAUACACAUAUUUUCCAAAUAUUACAUAUAAUUUCAUGUAAUUUAUAGACCUAUUAAGGCCCAACCAUUUUCUUGGAUAGGGGAUUCUUUAGAAGUCCAGCUUAAAUAAAGCCCGUAUAGAAAGUUUUUUUAAAAUUUAUACAUAAUCACCUAAAGUAACCUUAUCUACUGAACUCUUAGUACAUGCUACUGGAACCUUUUAUCAUGUUUCUUCCUGGCUUGCAUUACAACACUGUUGACAUAUCUCAGCCUUACUUCUAGGCUUCUUUGAGAGCAUGACUCAUGUUUGUAUUCCUCACUGAGGUUGAAUGAAUAAGAGAAACUACAGUAGUAGGAAAAAACAGUACAUGUACAUAUCAAUGAAUAUGAAAGGGUCAAAUGGAUCUAUUAUAGUAAGCACAAAAUCAACUGACACCAGCAAAGUAAACCCAAAAUUUUUAAUGGUAUUUUAAUAGAUCAAGAGGAGCAAGCAGAUUUUUGAGACAGUUGUCUCCUACUUUCUCUAUCACAGGGAGUAAUUUUAAAAGAAAAAUGGAGGGUAAGUUUCUUUAAGAGAAAAUUGUAGUUUAAAACAGGUCAUGGGAUAAUUAGAAAUAAUUUAAUUUCUUUAGAGGAUUUUAAUCUUUCAACUGCUUGCAAUUAGAUCCUAAGGCAAUAAAAGAAUAAGGAGAUUUGGAAAACCAUUGUCUGUAAUCUCUGAAGAAAAGUGGACAUUAGGGGAGUCAGUUGAAAAGCAAAGCUAUCACCAUUUUCUAAAGAGGAAAAAGGUGAACCUCACAAACUAUAGACCAAAAAAAUAGGACAUCGAGAGAAAGAAUAUGAAGCUAGCAUAGGUUCACAAAGAAUGAGUCAAAUCAAACAACAUGCAUUUUUUAUUUAUAAAGCAUGACUUGUUCAUUGUCAAUUCAUGUUAGCUUAAUCAUUAGGCAUUAAUGCCAUCACUGCAAUGCAUAUGUCAGCAAUAAAUAAUCAAAGACCAGGCUUCCAUCAUUCUGUUUAAUAUCUUCAAGUAAUGCUUAAGUUUGCAAAUGCUCUUUUAACACAUUCUCCAUAUGCAGCCUGCCCAGCACUGCACACAAUAGACCUGUUACUUCCCCCUCACGAGCACUCCUAAUAUUUCAUGUGCUCAUCCAAUUGACUUCUCCCACUGGUGCCUCAUAUUGAAUUUGUAGAAUCACACCUGCUCCUUUUUCAAAACUCUUCUGAGUUUUUUCUUAAAUAAUUCACUGACCCCAAAGUUGUCAGAUAUUUGAAGACUACUCGCACAAUUUUAAUAUUAUAAAUGUAUAAUGUAAAUGUAAUUAAGAUUUGUAUAAUGUACGAUGUACUUUGGUAAAUAAAAGUAUGCUGUGAAUAAAUACGUAUGAUACAAUUCAAAAUUUUACAUAAAUAUGUGAUAAAAUUUAGCUCAUAUUCUUUUUUUUUUUCUUUGAGACGGAGUCUCACUCUGUUGCACCCAGGCUAGAGUGCAGCAGCAUGAUCUCAGCUCACUGCAACCUCUACCUCCUGGGUUCAAACAAUUCUCCUGCCUCAGCCUCCUGAGUAGCUGGGAUUACAGGUGCCCGCCACCAUGCCCAGCUAAUUUUUUUCUAUUUUUGUUGUUGUUGUUGUUUUUAGUAGAGACGGGGUUUCACCAUGUUGGUCAGGCUGGUCUUGAACUCCUGACCUCAGAUAAUCCACCUGCCUCGGCCUCCCAAAGUUCUGGGAUUACAGACGUGAACCACGGUGCCCGGCCUAGUUCAUGUUCUUUAAGGACAAUUAUGAAUAUUUUUAUGCACUGUUAAUUUUCAUUAAGAUAUUGAUCAAUUAAUAGCUAUAUAUGUUCUAUAAAUUAAUCCUAUCUAGUUUCAAUCUUAAAUUGUUUGCAUAUACCAAUCUAGUUUAUUGUUUGCAUAUAUUUUAUAGUGUAGAGAUUAGGCAUUUUAAUAAAAUUUUAAAAUUUCCAGGACAUACUGUUAAUGACUAUGCUUCCUACUAUAGGCCAUAAUUAAUUUUUUUCUAUUGUCAACAAUAUUUUGGUAGGGAUGAUCAGGAAAUAAGGAAAUGUUUCCUUCAUUUGUUAACAAUAGGUGUUUGGGGAUUUUAAAAUGAAAAUUGAAGAAGUAAAAGACACCAUAUAUUUAGUUUGUUUGAUUUCGUGGCUUCAAGAGUUCAAUAAUUUAUUGAAAUAUUUUACAGACCAAAGAACAACAGAUAUAUUACGUUUAUAAGCCCCCACAUAUUUUAAAGGAUAAUGGUUUAUAUAUGAAAAUUCCCUGAACCUACACUUCAUC
Long non-coding RNA from Homo sapiens (human), 4762 nucleotides. Ensembl annotates it as MAGI2 antisense RNA 3. Its record names the gene MAGI2-AS3. The record is from Ensembl. NCBI's taxonomy places the organism in Eukaryota, Metazoa, Chordata, Mammalia, Primates, Hominidae.